CCUCGGGAGGCAGCAGUGGGGAAUAUUGGGCAAUGGGCGCAAGCCUGACCCAGCAACGCCGCGUGAAGGAAGAAGGCUUUCGGGUUGUAAACUUCUUUUCUCAGGGACGAAGCAAGUGACGGUACCUGAGGAAUAAGCCACGGCUAACUACGUGCCAGCAGCCGCGGUAAUACGUAGGUGGCAAGCGUUAUCCGGAUUUACUGGGUGUAAAGGGCGUGUAGGCGGGACUGCAAGUCAGAUGUGAAAACCACGGGCUCAACCUGUGGCCUGCAUUUGAAACUGUAGUUCUUGAGUGCUGGAGAGGCAGACGGAAUUCCUGGUGUAGCGGUGAAAUGCGUAGAUAUUAGGAGGAACACCAGUGGCGAAGGCGGUCUGCUGGACAGCAACUGACGCUGAGGCGCGAAAGCGUGGGGAGCAAACAGGAUUAGAUACGCCGGUAGUC
RNAcentral lists this ribosomal RNA (442 nucleotides) under uncultured bacterium. RNAcentral describes it as "partial 16S ribosomal RNA". It matches the Rfam family "Bacterial small subunit ribosomal RNA", at positions 339 to 795 of the family's 1533-position model. The record is from RNAcentral.